AAACGCAGUGCAGAAGAAGAAGAGGCGGAAG
Molecule: small RNA, 31 nt
Filed under: Arabidopsis thaliana (thale cress)
Lineage: Eukaryota; Viridiplantae; Streptophyta; Magnoliopsida; Brassicales; Brassicaceae
Description: ATSL058180
Source: RNAcentral